UAUUGCACAAUGGGGGAAACCCUGAUGCAGCGACGCCGCGUGAGUGAAGAAGUAUUUCGGUANGUAAAGCUCUAUCAGCAGGGAANNAANNNANGGUACCUGACUAAGAAGCCCCGGCUAACUACGUGCCNNNANCCGCGGUAAUACGUAGGGGGCAAGCGUUAUCCGGAUUUACUGGGUGUAAAGGGAGCGUAGACGGCAGAGCAAGUCUGAAGUGAAAGCCCGCGGCCCAACUGCGGGACUGCUUUGGAAACUGCCCGGCUAGAGUGCUGGAGAGGUAAGCGGAAUUCCUAGUGUAGCGGUGAAAUGCGUAGAUAUUAGGAGGAACACCAGUGGCGAAGGCGGCUUACUGGACAGUAACUGACGUUGAGGCUCGAAAGCGUGGGGAGCAAACAGGA
Molecule: ribosomal RNA, 398 nt
Filed under: uncultured bacterium
Lineage: Bacteria
Description: partial 16S ribosomal RNA
Rfam family: Bacterial small subunit ribosomal RNA
Source: RNAcentral